GGACUCUGGUGGACGGUCAACCCUAUGACUGGCAGUCAGAAGGUCAGGGGUUCGAAUCCCCUCGGGUCCACCA
Molecule: transfer RNA, 73 nt
Filed under: Chloroflexota bacterium
Lineage: Bacteria; Bacillati; Chloroflexota
Description: Chloroflexi bacterium (soil metagenome) tRNA-Ala
Rfam family: tRNA
About the family: Transfer RNA (tRNA) molecules are approximately 80 nucleotides in length. Their secondary structure includes four short double-helical elements and three loops (D, anti-codon, and T loops).
Source: RNAcentral